RNAcentral lists this ribosomal RNA (497 nucleotides) under uncultured bacterium. Its description in RNAcentral is "partial 16S ribosomal RNA". It matches the Rfam family "Bacterial small subunit ribosomal RNA", at positions 28 to 507 of the family's 1533-position model. The record is from RNAcentral.
GAUGAACGCUGGCGGCGUGCCUAAUACAUGCAAGUCGAGCGAACAGACGAGGAGCUUGCUCCGUCGACGUUAGCGGCGGACGGGUGAGUAACACGUAUGUAACCUACCUAUAAUACUGGUAUAACUUCGGGAAACCGGAGCUAAUACCGGAUAAGAUUUCGAACCGCAGGGGUCGAUGGUGAAAUAUGGCGUUUGUGUCACGUAUAGAUGGACCUGCGCCGUUUGAGGUAGUUGUUGAGGUAACGGGUUAUCAAGGGGACGAUACGUAGACGAGCUGAGAGAGUGAUCGGCCACACUGGAACUGCGACACGGUCCAGACUACUACGGGAGGCCGCAGUAGGGAAUCUUCCGCAAUGGGCGAAAACCUGACGGAGCAACGCCGAGUGAGUGAUGACGGUCUCCGGAUCGUAAAAAUCUGUUAUUAGGGAAGAACAACUGUGUAAGUAAAUGAGGACGUCUUGACGGUACCUAAUAAGAAAGCAACGGCUAACUACGUG